This 656-nucleotide ribosomal RNA is filed under the name Clostridioides difficile. RNAcentral's name for it is "bacterial SSU rRNA". It matches the Rfam family "Bacterial small subunit ribosomal RNA", at positions 296 to 971 of the family's 1533-position model. Lineage: Bacteria; Bacillati; Bacillota; Clostridia; Peptostreptococcales; Peptostreptococcaceae. The record is from RNAcentral.
GAGGGUGAUCGGCCACAUUGGAACUGAGACACGGUCCAAACUCCUACGGGAGGCAGCAGUGGGGAAUAUUGCACAAUGGGCGAAAGCCUGAUGCAGCAACGCCGCGUGAGUGAUGAAGGCCUUCGGGUCGUAAAACUCUGUCCUCAAGGAAGAUAAUGACGGUACUUGAGGAGGAAGCCCCGGCUAACUACGUGCCAGCAGCCGCGGUAAUACGUAGGGGGCUAGCGUUAUCCGGAUUUACUGGGCGUAAAGGGUGCGUAGGCGGUCUUUCAAGUCAGGAGUGAAAGGCUACGGCUCAACCGUAGUAAGCUCUUGAAACUGGGAGACUUGAGUGCAGGAGAGGAGAGUGGAAUUCCUAGUGUAGCGGUGAAAUGCGUAGAUAUUAGGAGGAACACCAGUUGCGAAGGCGGCUCUCUGGACUGUAACUGACGCUGAGGCACGAAAGCGUGGGGAGCAAACAGGAUUAGAUACCCUGGUAGUCCACGCUGUAAACGAUGAGUACUAGGUGUCGGGGGUUACCCCCCUCGGUGCCGCAGCUAACGCAUUAAGUACUCCGCCUGGGAAGUACGCUCGCAAGAGGGAAACUCAAAGGAAUUGACGGGGACCCGAACAAGUAGCGGAGCAUGUGGUUUAAUUCGAAGCAACGCGAAGAACCU